UUUUUUAGUACGUUUGUUCCGUUUGGAACAGGCUAAGGUCGGAGACCAUGCUGCCUAGUCUUCAAAAAGAUAAAUUGUCUGGAAUUUUAUUUUUCUAAUGUCGCUUCAAUUAUUGUCAUAAUCUUCAAUAUUUCAUUUGUCAAAUCCGAUGCUGCAACGCUCAGAAUUCUUACAGAAUUUAGCUAAAUGUCCAUACCUCAAGCACCGGUAGCAUUGUUUAACUGGUGGUAUAUAUGGAGUGACAUUGUGGCGCCAACCUCCAAUAUCCAGAUAUUCAGGUAAUACAGAUGCAGCAAAAGUAAUUGUCACGGUUAGAGUUGGCUGUAACACAUAUCCAUGAGUCAAGAUUCUGAGUCAGUAGAAGUAUCUUCCGAAUAUAUAUCCUUGUCAUUACAAGGUUCAUGGUCUACAUCACCUGAAUCGUCAUCUUUUUUUUUCCUUUUUCUACAACUGCGCUUCCCCAUGAAUGCUAAUUAUAUUACUGUCGCUGAAUUUAGUGAAAAUAUAAUAUUUUAUUCAAUAAUAAGAAUUGAUAGAGAUAGUUUUAAUAAAUUAAUAAAAAAAAUUUAAAAAACCCGCUUGUUCUUAUUCGAGUUUCCCGCC
Galleria mellonella (greater wax moth) is the source of this 603-nucleotide long non-coding RNA. RefSeq lists it as uncharacterized. The record is from RefSeq and is a predicted model, not a curated record. NCBI's taxonomy places the organism in Eukaryota, Metazoa, Arthropoda, Insecta, Lepidoptera, Pyralidae. The transcript has 3 exons.